RNAcentral lists this long non-coding RNA (425 nucleotides) under Pongo abelii (Sumatran orangutan). RNAcentral describes it as "lincRNA". The record is from RNAcentral. Lineage: Eukaryota; Metazoa; Chordata; Mammalia; Primates; Hominidae.
AGUUUCAAUAUGACUGCCUGGAUGAAGAAGGAUUUGAGACUAAGUUUAUUCCUCCAGAGCAAACCAACUGAGAAUGCAGUUUUCAGUGCAACCCAUCAUCAAAGGGAAGGAGUUGAUGAAAAGAAAUGAAAUUGAAACGUGCACCUGGGGAGAAGUGAUUGAAGGUUCUUCAUUUAAGGGACUGGCUCCUUUUCUCUUAUUAUACUGUGAAAUCUGAAAACAUCUCUUGAAAUUCUGGUCACUGUCUUCUGGACAUCCCAAGGCACACCAUCCCCACAGUUCCUUCCUCCUAGAUUAUUCCAUCCAGUGUGGCAUCCAGUGUGGCAAAUCGAAAAAGACUCUUCCAGUGGGCAACUGAAAAGGACACCAAAGAAAGCAGAUACAGCCCAUGAUCAAAGAAGCACAUAACUUCAGUUUGGAACAUG